Long non-coding RNA from Numida meleagris (helmeted guineafowl), 354 nucleotides. RefSeq lists it as uncharacterized. NCBI's taxonomy places the organism in Eukaryota, Metazoa, Chordata, Aves, Galliformes, Numididae. The record is from RefSeq and is a predicted model, not a curated record. The transcript is spliced from 3 exons.
GCCUCUUCCAGAAACGCGACCAUCGUCUUUCAUCUCACAGAAACACCUCCCCGAACGCGGCCCGCUUCUCAGCAGCUUCCUCUAACAACAGCCGGAGCGCAAUGGAAAGCCGGAGGCACAAACCGACACCUCCAGCAGAAGAACGCAGUCAACCUGUGCCCAGGAAAACACCUUCAUUCUACAUAAACAAAGUGAAUCAUCUUGCUUCACAACAACCUGUCAGUCCAUCAUGUACCAACCUUUGUGGUGUACACUGCUGGUAAUCUUUAUCAAGAUCAGCUUGGCUUGAGACGUUUGUGAAUCUGUAGAGGCUACUGCUACUGUCCUCGAACACAGAGCGUUUGUCUUUUCCGA